AUUGAACGCUGGCGGCAGGCCUAACACCUGCAAGUCGAACGCGUGGCGGACGGGUGAGUAAUGUCUGGGACACUUCCCGGUGGAGGGGGAUAACUACUGGAAACGGUAGCUAAUCCCGCAUACCAUCGGAUGUGCCCAGAUGGGAUUAGCUAGUAGGUGGGGUAACGGCUCACCUAGGCGACGAUGCCUAGCUGGUCUGAUAUGAUGCCCAGCCACACUGGAACUGAGAAACGGUACAGACGCCUACGGGAGGCAGCAGUGGGGAAUAUUGCACAAUGGGCGCAAGCCUGAUGCAGCCAUGCCGCGUGUAGGAAGCAGGCCUUCGGGUUGUAAAGUACUUUCAGCGAGGAGGCGUUACUCGCAGAAGAAGCACCGGCUAACUCCGUGCCAGCCGCCGCGGUAAUUC
Molecule: ribosomal RNA, 406 nt
Filed under: uncultured bacterium
Lineage: Bacteria
Description: partial 16S ribosomal RNA
Rfam family: Bacterial small subunit ribosomal RNA
Source: RNAcentral